AGCAGCCGCGGUAAUUCCAGCUCCAAUAGCGUAUAUUAAAGUUGUUGCAGUUAAAAAGCUCGUAGUUGAAUUUCGGGAUCAAUACGUCGGUCGUGCUUCGGUACGUACUGGCGUAAUUGAUUUCUCCCUUCUGACGAACCAUGAUGUCAUUAACUUGGUGUCAUGGGAAAUCAGGACUGUUACUUUGAAAAAAUUAGAGUGUUUAAAGCAGGCUCACGCUUGAAUACAUUAGCAUGGAAUAAUGAAAUAGGACGUUUGAUCCUAUUUUGUUGGUUUCUAGGAUUGACGUAAUGAUUAAUAGGGAUAGUUGGGGGCAUUAGUAUUCAAUUGUCAGAGGUGAAAUUCUUGGAUUUAUUGAAGACUAACUACUGCGAAAGCAUUUGCCAAGGAUGUUUUCAUUAAUCAAGAACGAAAGUUAGGGGAUCGAAGACGAUCAGAUACCGUCGUAGUCUUAACCAUAAACUAUGCCGACUAGGGAUCGGAUGAUGUUAAUUUUUUAAUGACUCAUUCGGCGCCUUAC
This 520-nucleotide ribosomal RNA is filed under the name uncultured Glomus. RNAcentral describes it as "SSU rRNA". It matches the Rfam family "Eukaryotic small subunit ribosomal RNA", at positions 569 to 1091 of the family's 1831-position model. The record is from RNAcentral. Lineage: Eukaryota; Fungi; Glomeromycota; Glomeromycetes; Glomerales; Glomeraceae.